RNAcentral lists this microRNA precursor (93 nucleotides) under Beta vulgaris subsp. vulgaris (sugar beet). Its description in RNAcentral is "pre miRNA mir-598". The record is from RNAcentral. Lineage: Eukaryota; Viridiplantae; Streptophyta; Magnoliopsida; Caryophyllales; Amaranthaceae.
UGAUUAUUAUUAUUCUGAUGCUGAUGAAGAUGAUGAUGAUUCAGAUGAUGAUGUGAUAUCGCAUCAUCAUCGACAUCUUCAUCACUAGACAUC